CUGACAGCCCUGAAGAAUGAAGUCCUUCUUGUAUCCACAGAACAGGUGUAGAGUGGGAAGUGGAAGGACUAGCUUCCUCACACUAUUUCAGUGUUGACCUGGAAGGACCACGUUCACUUGCCAUGCCAUUGAAUCCCUGGCCUAU
RNAcentral lists this small RNA (145 nucleotides) under Chrysemys picta bellii (western painted turtle). RNAcentral describes it as "TUC338 (ENSCPBG00000000711.1)". The record is from RNAcentral. Lineage: Eukaryota; Metazoa; Chordata; Testudines; Emydidae.